GCGCGCUUGACUGGGGGUCAAGAGG
Molecule: transfer RNA, 25 nt
Filed under: Micrococcus luteus
Lineage: Bacteria; Bacillati; Actinomycetota; Actinomycetes; Micrococcales; Micrococcaceae
Description: tRNA-Ala
Source: RNAcentral